This is an RNA transcript of Manihot esculenta (cassava), 2667 nucleotides long. It is a transcript of the gene named mitochondrial substrate carrier family protein B, with no coding region annotated. The record is from RefSeq and is a predicted model, not a curated record. NCBI's taxonomy places the organism in Eukaryota, Viridiplantae, Streptophyta, Magnoliopsida, Malpighiales, Euphorbiaceae. The transcript is spliced from 7 exons.
AUUGUUGGUUGUCGCAGUUGUUGUUCUGCUUUACUUUCACCAUAAGCAGAAAUCACAAAUUCCCAAUCCUUCGCAAGAGAAGAAGAAGAAGAAGAAGAAGAAGAAGAAUUCGAGGAAAUUCUUUAUGGGAUUUUGAUUGCUUCACGAAUUGGUGAACGGAAGUCUUAUAUUUUUUCGUUUUUCCCCUUUCUUUUUGUAAUAUAGAGGGGUUUUAUGCUCAAAUUUUACCCUUGCCUGAAGAGGAGGGAGAGAGAGAGAGAUGCAGACAGAGGCAAGAGUGGGGGUGGUGGUAGAGGGAGGGGCGAGGGCUCUCAGUUCGCAGAAGAAACAGCAAAGGCCAGUGCAACAGCAGCAAUCGCAGAUAGGAACAGUUUCGCAGCUCAUGGCCGGUGGUGUAGCCGGUGCUCUUAGCAAGACUUGCACUGCUCCCCUCGCGCGCCUCACCAUACUUUUUCAGGUGCAAGGUAUGCACUCUGAUGUAGCAACAUUGAGAAAGGCUAGCAUAUGGCAUGAGGCUUCUCGAAUAUUAAGGGAGGAAGGAUUUAGAGCUUUCUGGAAAGGGAAUCUCGUCACAAUUGCUCAUCGGCUGCCUUACUCUUCUGUCAACUUUUAUUCAUAUGAACACUAUAAAAAGUUUCUACAUACGAUACCUGGACUAGAAAGCCACAGGAAAAAUGUGGGUGGAGAUGCCUUUGUUCAUUUUGUAGGUGGUGGAAUGGCUGGGAUAACAGCAGCAUCUGUUACAUACCCAUUGGACCUUGUAAGAACACGCCUUGCAGCUCAGACAAAUGUGAUCUAUUACAGAGGCAUAUUGCAUGCAUUACGAACAAUUAGCAGAGAGGAGGGUGUACGGGGACUCUACAAGGGACUUGGAGCUACACUUUUGGGUGUUGGGCCAAAUAUAGCUAUCAGCUUUUCAGCGUAUGAGACCUUACGUUCUUUUUGGCAAUCACACAGGCCCCACGAUCCUACAGUGGCAGUGAGUUUGGCUUGUGGCAGUCUAUCAGGCAUUGCAUCCUCAACAGGUGAUCAGCCUGAAAUGUGCUAAAUGAAAGGCAUCUUGCAAAUUUUAAUUGAGAUUUAGUAGUAUUUUGAUAUGCAAAUGAAUCAUGCUCUUUUCUCUUGAAAGUUAAACUCAGUUAAGUGUCCAUUGUCCAAGUUUGUCAAUCAUGAUUAAUGUUUGUGGUAUUUUCUGCAACAGAAUUGCAUAUAUUGAUUGAAUAAUCUUUCUACUGCAUAUUUUCUUUGAAUAGCUGCUUUAUCCAUGUCAUAUAUGCUCCUUAUGUUCACCACAAGACUAGGAACAGGAUAUAUAAAGGUUAUAGCAUUUUUUUACUUGCCACAGAACUUUACUGACUGUAUCAAAUGUUAAUUAGCAGAUGUCAAAUGUCCGGCAAACAUUUCAUCAGGCUGCUUCGUCUGAUUAGAUGAUGUCAAUGUCUAAUCGUUAUAGCUGUUUAUUAUACUUUUGAUGCAGAGAAGCAGGGUGUGGUGCAGGCUCUGCAUUAAGUAUCUAACCAGACUGACCCCUAGAGCCAGAGACCUGACAGGAGUUAUUUUGUAUCUUUCAUUUGAUAAUUUUAGUAAGGAAGACAAAGGAGAAAAAAUAAAGAAAAAAAAUUGCAAUUCAUCCAACUUUGUUUCUAUUUAAUAGUUUCCAUUGCAUUAACUUUAUUUCUCCAACAUUUCAUGUGGAACUUGUCUCCCCAAGCAUUGCGUUGAUUCUGUAAUAGGUGGCACUACUCUCAGGAGAACUAGUGCUGUUCUCUCAGUAAUCAAAUGCGAGAGGUUUCCUCUUUGAGCAACAUUUCCUCUUGAUCUUGUGAGACGACGGAAGCAAUUGGAAGGUGCAGGAGGCCGGGCCCGUGUUUACACAACAGGUCUUAUUGGCACAUUCAAGCACAUAAUUCGCACCGAGGGAUUUUGGGGUCUAUAUAGAGGCAUCAUGCCUGAAUACUACAAAGUUGUACCUGGUGUUGGCAUUUGUUUUAUGACCUAUGAGACGUUGAAAUUGUUGUUAGCAGAUGUUACUGCCAAAUUAUAGCUGCUAUGAGCAUAUCUCAGAGGUUGACGUUCAUACAGAAGAAGCGUGAACUGUUAGCCAAGUAGCGUGAUCGGCCAUACUCUUAUCAGUUUUUUCAUGGUGGUUGAUUUUGUGAAGCUACUGUGAGAAUUAUAUGACUCUGUGUAGAUAUAUCAAAGCUCCAUCUAUUUCAAGUGUAUUCUCAACAUUUGUCAAAUUCACAGAAAUUAAUACCUUGGUGAUCCUUUUUUAGUAGUCCAGUUUCUUAUCACCAGCGUCGGACAUGCAACUGAGAUACUGGGUUUAAAAACAUUUGCAGUUUCAUCUCAUCGGCUCAGGAAACUUCAUGAAAGUUUAAGUCGGAAUGAUCAGUCAUCUAUUUGGUUAUCUUCCACAAUUUUGUUUUGACGUUUAAGACCUUCAAAUCCCUAAACCAAAUUUAUGUUCUUAUACGUGUUCCUUCAGGCAUUUGCAAUUGUAUAAGGAGAAGUGUUAUUCUUGAGCUUGGACAAGUGCAGUUCUUUUAAUAGCCUUUGGCAUUCUCACCAAUUUGACGUACGCUGAAUCUGUUGACAGCAUUACUGUCUUGUUUCUUACUUCCUUGACCUUUUAUUGUGAUGAUGGUGGAGAUUUCAUUUGUCUAA